UACGUAGGGGCCUAGCGUUGUCCGGAUUUAUUGGGCGUAAAGAGCUCGUAGGCGGUUCGGUAAGUCAGGUGUGAAAUCUCCACGCUCAACGUGGAGGCGCCACCUGAAACUGCCGUGACUCGAGUCCGGUAGGGGAGUGUGGAAUUCCCGGUGUAGCGGUGAAAUGCGCAGAUAUCGGGAGGAACACCAGUGGCGAAGGCGGCACUCUGGGCCGGUACUGACGCUGAGGAGCGAAAGCGUGGGGAGCGAACAGGAUUAGAUACCCUGGUAGUCCACGCCGUAAACGUUGGGCACUAGGUGUGGGACUCUAUCGACGGGUUCCGUGCCGUAGCUAACGCAUUAAGUGCCCCGCCUGGGGAGUACGGCCGCAAGGCUAAA
RNAcentral lists this ribosomal RNA (378 nucleotides) under uncultured bacterium. RNAcentral's name for it is "bacterial SSU rRNA". It matches the Rfam family "Bacterial small subunit ribosomal RNA", at positions 524 to 898 of the family's 1533-position model. The record is from RNAcentral.